AGAGUUUGAUCAUGGCUCAGGAUGAACGCUGGCGGCGUGCUUAACACAUGCAAGUCGAACGGAGUUGUGUGAAAGCUUGCUUUCAAACAACUUAGUGGCGGACGGGUGAGUAACGCGUGGGUAACCUGCCUCAUACAGGGGGAUAACAGCUGGAAACGGCUGCUAACACCGCAUAACAUAGUUGUGCCGCAUGACACGAUUAUCAAAUAUUUAUAGGUAUGAGAUGGGCCCGCGUCUGAUUAGCUAGUUGGUGGGGUAAAGGCCUACCAAGGCGACGAUCAGUAGCCGGCUUGAGAGAGUGACCGGCCACAUUGGGACUGAGACACGGCCCAAACUCCUACGGGAGGCAGCAGUGGGGAAUAUUGCACAAUGGGGGAAACCCUGAUGCAGCGACGCCGCGUGAGUGAAGAAGUAUUUCGGUAUGUAAAGCUCUAUCAGCAGGGAAGAUAAUGACAGUACCUGACUAAGAAGCCCCGGCUAACUACGUGCCAGCAGCCGCGGUAAUACGUAGGGGGCAAGCGUUAUCCGGAUUUACUGGGUGUAAAGGGAGCGUAGGUGGUUCGGUAAGUCAGAAGUGAAAGCCCAGGGCUCAACCCUGGGACUGCUUUUGAAACUAUCGGACUAGAGUGCAGGAGAGGUAAGUGGAAUUCCUAGUGUAGCGGUGAAAUGCGUAGAUAUUAGGAGGAACACCAGAGGCGAAGGCGGCUUACUGGACUGUAACUGACACUGAGGCUCGAAAGCGUGGGGAGCAAACAGGAUUAGAUACCCUGGUAGUCCACGCCGUAAACGGUGAAUACUAGCUGUCGGGGCCAUCACGGCUUCGGUGGCGCAGCUAACGCAAUAAGUAUUCCACCUGGGGAGUACGUUCGCAAGAAUGAAACUCAAAGGAAUUGACGG
Molecule: ribosomal RNA, 897 nt
Filed under: uncultured bacterium
Lineage: Bacteria
Description: bacterial SSU rRNA
Rfam family: Bacterial small subunit ribosomal RNA
Source: RNAcentral